Molecule: ribosomal RNA, 505 nt
Filed under: uncultured bacterium
Lineage: Bacteria
Description: partial 16S ribosomal RNA
Rfam family: Bacterial small subunit ribosomal RNA
Source: RNAcentral
GACGAACGCUGGCGGCGUGCCUAAUACAUGCAAGUAGAACGCACAGUUUAUACCGUAGCUUGCUACACCAUAAACUGUGAGUUGCGAACGGGUGAGUAACGCGUAGGUAACCUGCCUGGUAGCGGGGGAUAACUAUUGGAAACGAUAGCUAAUACCGCAUAAUAUUGAUUAUUGCAUGAUAAUUGAUUGAAAGAUGCUAUUGCAUCACUACCAGAUGGACCUGCGUUGUAUUAGCUAGUAGGUGAGGUAACGGCUCACCUAGGCGACGAUACAUAGCCGACCUGAGAGGAUGAGCGGCCACACUGGGACUGAGACACGGCCCAGACUCCUACGGGAGGCAGCAGUAGGGAAUCUUCGGCAAUAGACGAAAGUCUGACCGAGCAACGCCGCGUGAGUGAAGAAGGUUUUCGGAUCGUAAAGCUCUGUUGUAAGAGAAGAACGGGUGUGAGAGUGGAAAGUUCACACUGUGACGGUAUCUUACCAGAAAGGGACGGCUAACUACGUG